RNAcentral lists this small RNA (432 nucleotides) under Arabidopsis thaliana (thale cress). RNAcentral describes it as "ATSL170140". The record is from RNAcentral. Lineage: Eukaryota; Viridiplantae; Streptophyta; Magnoliopsida; Brassicales; Brassicaceae.
AAUUUAAUUAAUAAUAAAAAAUUAGAAUGGAGUGUCAUUUUGGAUAAGAAACUUAAACGUUCAAAAUUUCUCCAUUCUAUUUACACUCAUUAAGUAUUAAUAUUAAAUUUUUACCUUAAUCUAUGUGGAAAAGCUAAAACAUCAAAUUUGCAGGAAUAGAUGGAGAAUAUAUUAUGGACCUGAAUUGUGACAACAAAUAGAGCGGAGCGGACAGAGCGGAUAAUACGGACAAAGUGCAGAAAAAGUGGUUGCAGUGUACAAAGCGGAUAAAAUGGCGAAGCUGAUUAAGUGGAUGAAGCAUAGCGGUUUUAUGAGUUGAAUGGUAAAAAACGGACAAAACGGUUUAAUUUUUUCAAAAACAUAUUUUGUAACAAAAAAUUUCUGGACAACUAUUAAUUUUUUUUUAGUACCACAACAUUUUGAAAAAUGUAU